Centropristis striata (black sea bass) is the source of this 296-nucleotide long non-coding RNA. RefSeq lists it as uncharacterized. Lineage: Eukaryota; Metazoa; Chordata; Actinopteri; Perciformes; Serranidae. The transcript is spliced from 3 exons. The record is from RefSeq and is a predicted model, not a curated record.
UAAUUGCUCUAACCAGCUCUCGUGAUUUCAAGAAGUGGACAAUCUAAUGCUGCAGAGAAGUUAAAGAACAGCUAGAGAGCGUGAUGAGGACAUUACAUAGACUCUCGUUAAAUAUGCAGCCAGUAAGCUCAGCUUCACCUACAGAACAGCAAGUCUGGCUCGGUCCAACAGGAACAAAAUCAACCAACCAGCACCUCUAAAGCUCAUCAGACAGUCCUUCAGGUCAGCCCGCUGUAAUUGGCCCAUUGAUUGGUGACAAGCCUGAUGCAAACCGGCGUCGUACAGACAAACAGCGA